AAUAAUAUGUAUUUACGACCUGGUCCGAGUGGCAGGGAGCCGCUGGAUGCAGGCCGCCGGUGACCGGUCGUGGUGGAAAGCCCUGAGGGAGGCCUUUGUCCAGCAGUGGACGUCCCACGGCUGAAAC
Colias croceus (clouded yellow) is the source of this 127-nucleotide long non-coding RNA. RefSeq lists it as uncharacterized. The record is from RefSeq and is a predicted model, not a curated record. Lineage: Eukaryota; Metazoa; Arthropoda; Insecta; Lepidoptera; Pieridae. The transcript is spliced from 3 exons.